Molecule: non-coding RNA, 45 nt
Filed under: Schistosoma haematobium
Lineage: Eukaryota; Metazoa; Platyhelminthes; Trematoda; Strigeidida; Schistosomatidae
Source: RNAcentral
AUCCAGCAGAAGAGUCCAUAAUACGACGAAAUGCGCGUCCUGGAU